UGUAAUUUUAGGUUGAUUAUUAUAAUCGUGGUGUAAAUAUUUAUCGAAAUGAUCAGAUUAUUGCAAAAGCUCCUAAAUCAAAAGAAACAAAGCUCGCCACCGUUCAACUCAUGAGGACUCUUGUUGCCAUUAUAAAGUGCACAAAGCAACUGCCAGAUGAAGUGAUGAUGACCAUGAAAAUCCUGUAUUAUGAUGACGGUAAGCUGU
Molecule: long non-coding RNA, 207 nt
Organism: Xenia sp. Carnegie-2017
Lineage: Eukaryota; Metazoa; Cnidaria; Anthozoa; Malacalcyonacea; Xeniidae
Exons: 4
Source: RefSeq, a predicted model, not a curated record